UACGAAGGGGGCUAGCGUUGCUCGGAAUCACUGGGCGUAAAGGGUGCGUAGGCGGGUCUUUAAGUCAGGGGUGAAAUCCCAGAGCUCAACUCUGGAACUGCCUUUGAUACUGGGUAUCUCGAGUAUGGAAGAGGUGAGUGGAAUUCCGAGUGUAGAGGUGAAAUUCGUAGAUAUUCGGAGGAACACCAGUGGCGAAGGCGGCUCACUGGUCCAUUACUGACGCUGAGGUGCGAAAGCGUGGGGAGCAAACAGG
RNAcentral lists this ribosomal RNA (253 nucleotides) under uncultured bacterium. RNAcentral's name for it is "partial 16S ribosomal RNA". It matches the Rfam family "Bacterial small subunit ribosomal RNA", at positions 524 to 776 of the family's 1533-position model. The record is from RNAcentral.